This 298-nucleotide signal recognition particle RNA is filed under the name Cebus imitator (Panamanian white-faced capuchin). Its description in RNAcentral is "Metazoan signal recognition particle RNA (ENSCCAG00000007676.1)". It matches the Rfam family "Metazoan signal recognition particle RNA". Rfam says of the family: The signal recognition particle (SRP) is a universally conserved ribonucleoprotein. It is involved in the co-translational targeting of proteins to membranes. Lineage: Eukaryota; Metazoa; Chordata; Mammalia; Primates; Cebidae. The record is from RNAcentral.
GCCAGGUGCAGUGGCACAUGCCUGUAGUCCCAGUUACUUGGGAGGCUGAAGCUGGAGGAUCGCUUGAGCCCAGGAGUUCUGGGCUGUAGUGCGCUAUGCUGACCGGGUGUCCGCACUAAGUUCAACAUCAAUAUGGUGACUUCCCGGGAGCGGGGGACCACCAGGUUGCCUAUGGAGGGGUGAACCGGCCCAGGUCAGAAACGAGCAGGUCAAAACUCCCAUGCUGAUGAAUAGUGGGAUCACGCCUGUGAAUAGCCCCUUCUCUCCAGCCUGGGCAACAAAGCAGGAUCCCGUCUCU